CCCGGUUCGAUCGAAGCUCGUGUUCCAUUCAAUCGAUAAUAAUAAUUAUACUAAUAAGAAUAGUUUCAAUAAAAUAGUAUCAUGAGUUCAGUUGUAGAAAAAAAGAUGAGAUGAUCCGUAUGAAAUUUAACGGUUGAACCUCGUUUGCAACGGCACAAUCAACUCGCUUCACGUCAUUACCAACUCACCUAAUUCAAAAUUCGCGAUGCUUGAAUGUAGCUGCGUAAAUGCGUCGCGACACCUGUUCGACUGACCCGUUAUUAUUCAACUGAGGACACUUCAGGUGUCAGACAGUAUCGUUAUAGUUCACACACUACGAGUCGUCUAACUUUUCCCGGGAGCCGGUUAUAUAUAGAGACCGCGUGUAAGUGUCGGCGACGACACUGCUUCGAGAUCAUUGAAGUUCUCGGUAGGUGUGAUAAGAUUCGUCACGGUCGGGAAUAAUAGCUAAUAUAAGUGAAUGCGUUCGGUUAUCGUUAUAUAGGUACUAAACGUGGCCGUUGACGGACCACGGCAAAUUGGGAUUUGAACGACGAGUAAAAUCAGGAAAUGGAAAAGAUUUCGCAUAAAGCCUUGGUAAACCAGGUAGAACGUAUCGUCGAAAAUUACGAAUAUUUGUAGGUUAUAAUUUUCUGCUUCGCGAUCUCGUCCGAGAAUGCUUUUUUUCUUUGUUAAGAGAGCGAUUGUUUUAUAGUUAAUGAAUGAUAAGUAAUACAUUAUUGAAUAUUGGAUUAGAAGAUCAUAUCUUUUUGAUCAUUCCGUCAUCUUUAAUGGGCGUUUGGAGAAACGGUACUGAUUAUUCAAAUAAACAGAGAAAUCGAUUAUUUUAUCACGACCCGAUACAAACAACCGUUGACGUUUGAAAAUUUGUUUACGCUCCAUUUUCAAAUUCACAGGAAAUCUGCGGUUUGUUCUAUUUUUAAUUUGCAAUCAAUAAGUCGAUCGAUAACGUUUAUCAUCGGCGACUGGGGGUCUUUUUAUCGAGGCAGUUUCUAAAUUUGUCUAAAAUAUUUUGGAAAUAUUUGAAAUUCGCGAUGAAAUGCGUGAUGACGAUAUGAAUUUUUCCAUGUGAAAAAUGAGACGCCUAUCAACAUGUUACACGUGUAAACAAUAUAACACCUGGAGUGCUAAGGGUUAAUGACAGUAGUAGUAUCGGUGAGAGUUCAGAAAGAAAUCAUAAGGCGAGGGGUUAAUAUACAAUAAAAAAAAUGCGCCGCACUAUGGAGAGCAGAGAUAGCAUAAAAUGAGAAUGAUAUUCAAGCCAUAAGUGGUUAAGUGGGACACUCUGUAUGUGAGUACGUUUGCUGAAGUUUCUCAGCGCAUGUUUCCAAUGCGUUCGCAGAUCACGAGGAACCUGAAACCAAUCGGCCGGAGCGGUCAUUAAAGCCGGGAACAAAAUGAAGGGGCGUCGAGAACGAAUGGUACUGCACAGUACCGCGAGCUGCGCUGGAUACAGUGAAAGUAUGCCCGCUAUGCUCCUCCGGCGGGGUUUGAAGAAAAAGGGGAGGGGAGAAAUGACUUUUGCGUCUACCCCAAGGUUUUGCGAGCAACCGCAUCGGCCACCGUACAAGUAUCACCCUGUAGAAGAGCGCACACGAAAUUUUCCAUGUCGUGGGUGAAACUUACCUCACCGUCCGCCGGAAUUACCGAACGCGCAAUCAGAGGAUCGUCCGGGAAUCGUCUAAACGGGAAGAAUCUAUUUAUUCAAAUCUCCUCCGCGCCUACACGAUGGAUCGUUAAUCUCGUCAGGUACGCGGCUAUUACAUGCCACGAGGAAUUUCACCGGCGGCCAUGGCGGAGGGAGGGAGGAAAGCCGAGUCCGAGAAUUUUCCUUGUAGAGGUCAUCGCUCACAGGAGCAACACGUAAACCCGAUCCAACCUCGGAUGGAGCCGGUUAGAAAUUGCAACCUGAAAAGGGGACGGAGAAAGCGUAUCACGGUCGACCUUUAGGAUGUGCCUUUGCACGCGGAUAGACCGAGUUUCCUGGUAAGAAGGAAACAAAAAUUCGCAGAUGGAAUAGUUGAAAUUUUAGCUGCGAGUUUACGAUACCAUGCCAUUCAGAAGAAUCUUCAUUGGAGGCAUUCUUUAAUGCAUUUCUGAUUAUUUGCACGCGUGUGGUAAUAUGGUAUGCAGUCAAGAGGACUAUUCAGGCCCAAAAUGAAAUGUAAUGAGACAAUUUUGUUCUAUAUUUUCUCAGAAUAAUUAUUUCAGUUAUUAGUGGUGAAUACUGUUGCUAAAUAUCAGUCAAAUAUUGAAUGUAUUUGAAGUAAUUGAACUUAUCAGCAUGGACUGAAUUACAGUCUAAUAUUAAUAUCGAAUUUAUUGAAUGUAUUUGAAAUAACUGAAUUGGAAUUCUUAUUAUCUUUGGAUACUAGCUCUCUAUAUUAUAAAGAUGCCAAUAUAAUAUAAAGGUGCACGAGUAUCAUCAAACUUUCUUUCUAAAUUCUUUGUGCAUAUGUUUAAUUAUGAAAAAGAAACGCCAGCAAUUGACGAAGAUCUUCAAUCAGUCGAGGUAAUUGGAACGUAUUGUAUUUUGUAAUUACGCGGGUGAAUAAUUAGAGUAUUCUCAUCAAAGUAGAAAAGAGGGUAGAGUGGAACGAAACGUGGCGUGCGAAAAUAUUUUCCGAGCGAGUAGUGUGCAACCGAUGACAUUAGAAACUGGAUGAAAGGAAACUUCGUUAAAUGUCAAGGAUGAAGGGGAUUCUACAUUUUUCUUCCCAUUCUUUAGACACUGCCAUGGGAAAGUAACCGUUAACGUUCCCCCGAACUGAAAACGAAUUCAAUGAGAAUCGUUAAACUGUUACGGUACCACGAUCCCCUGGCAGGGAACCCGGCGUCUCCGUUUAUUCGAUUCCGAAAAUCGACACUAAACAAUUUCAUCACCGAAUUGGGACUUUGUCUUAUUUCUUCCGGGUGAUAUAAAUGGGCGGGAAAAGUCAUUCUUCUCCGGAACGACAGGCGGAAGAAAUAUCUUCGGUUGUAAAGAAAUACUAUUUAGAGAAUGCAGCGGUCCAUGCUGAUGCUUUCAAGCGUUUCAUCCGAGGAAAUGUCAGUGAGACUUUUAUGCGGGCAUAAAAGUAGAAAUUAGUUUCUUGUAUAUAAACCGGGGAUGCCGGUUACACCUUUAUGUUUUCGACCCGGUGAGGUCAGUGAACUUCGCACGAUUCCCUGCAUCCUAAAAUGCGGAUACAAUUGUAUUUUCCGAAUUUCACAGUAUUUUCAUCAAAAAUCGUAUAAUUCACUAGCCACUGAAUUGUAAAAUC
Molecule: long non-coding RNA, 3263 nt
Organism: Nomia melanderi (Alkali bee)
Lineage: Eukaryota; Metazoa; Arthropoda; Insecta; Hymenoptera; Halictidae
Source: RefSeq, a predicted model, not a curated record